Long non-coding RNA from Cicer arietinum (chickpea), 706 nucleotides. RefSeq lists it as uncharacterized. Lineage: Eukaryota; Viridiplantae; Streptophyta; Magnoliopsida; Fabales; Fabaceae. The record is from RefSeq and is a predicted model, not a curated record.
ACUAAAAUCUUUCACGACCGCUAAUGAGCACAGUUAUCCAUUUUAUUGCAAAUGAAUCGACUUUAUAGAGUAGUUAGAUACUAUAUUUAAAUUGACUAAGUUAAUUUGAACUACAACCAGCGCACCGAAGAUAUUUUCAUUUGAGCCCAACAUUACUGAGAGAAAGAAAGCUCAAAACUGCUUCAAUAUAGAAAUAAGAGAAUGUAAAUAUUGGAAAGGCAUAUUCAUAGAUACUCACAAGUUCGAGGAAAACGUACUUGAAUUAGUCGAUUAAUUUGAAAUGAGAACUUAAUUACAAUUGGUCAAAUAAUGGAUUGUAGGUUUGGGGUGAAUUACCAUUUCCGAAGUGUAAAGUAGCAUUAGAUUAUGUGAUAUUCGCAGAUAAAGCUUCUGCUGAUAAAGUAGCAUCAAAUUUUUCAGAUAUAAUGAGCCAAAUGGCUCAAGAUGUGAGUUACUGCUGCUUUUAAAUUAGCAUUUUUCAGCUCUUAUUUCUUAAUUACGUUGCUAUAGCUUUAAUUUGGAUUCUAUAGUUUUGCUCUCUCUCUCACUCUAUGUAUGUGUAUACAAAGGAUAUUUUUUAGAUGCUUCAAAUGAUCGUCCGGUUGGAAUUCACUUCACAUUUCUGUGAUGUGAAGAGUAUGUUAUUCUUUAUAUUUUCAUUCUUCUUUCUCUUUGAAUUGUCCAAAUGACUUAGGGUUACUAGUAA